Molecule: ribosomal RNA, 252 nt
Filed under: uncultured bacterium
Lineage: Bacteria
Description: partial 16S ribosomal RNA
Rfam family: Bacterial small subunit ribosomal RNA
Source: RNAcentral
UACGGAGGAUGCGAGCGUUAUCCGGAUUUAUUGGGUUUAAAGGGUGCGUAGGCGGACUGUCAAGUCAGCGGUAAAAUUGAGAGGCUCAACCUCUUCCCGCCGUUGAAACUGGUGGUCUUGAGUGGAUGAGAAGUACGCGGAAUGCGUGGUGUAGCGGUGAAAUGCAUAGAUAUCACGCAGAACUCCGAUUGCGAAAGCGGCUCUCUGGCCUGUAACUGACACUGAGGCUCGAAAGCGUGGGGAGCAAACAGG